AGAGUUUGAUCCUGGCUCAGGAUGAACGCUAGCGGUAGGCUUAACACAUGCAAGUCGAGGGGCAGCACGGUAGCAAUACUGGUGGCGACCGGCGCACGGGUGAGUAACGCGUAUGCAAUCUACCUUUAACUGGGGAAUAGCUUCGAGAAAUCGGAAUUAAUGCCCCAUAAUAUUAACGAAUCGCAUGGUUUGUUAAUUAAAGCUCCGGCGGUUAAAGAUGGGGAUGCGGGCUAUUAGUUUGUUGGUGAGGUAACGGCUCACCAAGACUACGAUAGAUAGGGGGUCUGAGAGGAUGAUCCCCCACACUGGUACUGAGACACGGACCAGACUCCUACGGGAGGCAGCAGUGAGGAAUAUUGGUCAAUGGGCGCAAGCCUGAACCAGCCAUACCGCGUGAAGGAUGAAGGCUCUAGUAGUCGUAAACUUCUUUUAUAUGGGAAGAAAUCUACUCUCGUGAGAGUAGUUGACGGUACCAUAAGAAUAAGCACCGGCUAACUCCGUGCCAGCAGCCGCGGUAAUACGGAGGGUGCAAGCGUUAUCCGGAUUUAUUGGGUUUAAAGGGUACGUAGGCGGAAUAUUAAGUCAGUGGUGAAAGCCUGCAGCUUAACUGUAGAAUUGCCAUUGAUACUGUUAUUCUUGAAUGUGGUUGAAGUAGGCGGAAUAUGACAUGUAGCGGUGAAAUGCAUAGAUAUGUCAUGGAACACCAAUUGCGAAGGCAGCUUACUAAACCAUGAUUGACGCUGAGGGACGAAAGCGUGGGUAGCGAACAGGAUUAGAUACCCUGGUAGUCCACGCCGUAAACGAUGAUCACUAGUUGCUGGCGAUACACUGUCAGUGACCAAGCGAAAGUUAUAAGUGAUCCACCUGGGGAGUACGGUCGCAAGAAUGAAACUCAAAGGAAUUGACGGGGGCCCGCACAAGCGGAGGAACAUGUGGUUUAAUUCGAUGAUACGCGAGGAACCUUACCUGGACUUAAAUGUAGAUUGACCGGUUUAGAAAUAGAUCUUUCCUUCGGGACAAUUUACAAGGUGCUGCAUGGUUGUCGUCAGCUCGUGCCGUGAGGUGUCGGGUUAAGUCCCAUAACGAGCGCAACCCCUAUCGUUAGUUGCUAGCGAGUCAAGUCGGGGACUCUAACGAGACUGCCGGUGUAAACCGCGAGGAAGGUGGGGAUGACGUCAAAUCAGCACGGCCCUUAUGUCCAGGGCUACACACGUGUUACAAUGGCCAGUACAAAGGGCAGCUACUUGGUGACAAGAUGCUAAUCUCUAAAGCUGGUCUCAGUUCGGAUAGAAGUCUGCAAUUCGACUUCGUGAAGUUGGAUUCGCUAGUAAUCGCACAUCAGCUACGGUGCGGUGAAUACGUUCCCGGGCCUUGUACACACCGCCCGUCAAACAAUGGAAGCUGGGGGUGCCUGAAGUCUGUAACCGUAAGGAGCGGCCUAGGGUAAAACUAGUGACUAGGGCUAAGUCGUAACAAGGUAACC
Molecule: ribosomal RNA, 1483 nt
Filed under: uncultured prokaryote
Description: partial 16S ribosomal RNA
Rfam family: Bacterial small subunit ribosomal RNA
Source: RNAcentral